Molecule: long non-coding RNA, 496 nt
Filed under: Homo sapiens (human)
Lineage: Eukaryota; Metazoa; Chordata; Mammalia; Primates; Hominidae
Description: HSALNT0199114
Source: RNAcentral
AAAGGUUAGGGAAGUAUAUGUGGUUAGGGUUAGGGGAAUAUAAAAAUAAUAUCAAUACAACUUUUCUAUGUAGCACCAUGGUUCACAAAUUCUAGCAUGAAUCAGAAUCACCUGGAGGACUUACAAAACACAGCUUGCUGGGCCCUACCCCCAGAGAUUUUCAUUCAUAAGUCUGCAUUGGGGCCUAAGUAUUUGCAUAUUUAACAAGUUUCUAGGUGUUGCCAUUGCUGCUGUUGAGUCACAUGCUUUGAGAACAACUGGUACAGUUAUCAGUCUUGUCUUCACCUGAGUUUUGAGUUGCUGUAAUUUUGUGAUUGUCUUGGGCUGCAUAACAUAAAGAGCUGAAGAUCUGGUACCAAGUUAUUUAAGUUCAUAUCCUGGCUUUGAUAGUUUACUGUCGAUAUGCCGUUGAACAAGUUACUUCUUCAAAUUGUGUUUUGACAACCUUAUUAGACAAGUGUACUACUAACUCCAUUCUGCUUAUUUAUGAGGUACC